GUCCACGCCGUAAACGAUGGAUACUAGUUGUUGGAUUUCGGAUUCAGUGACUAAGCGAAAGUGAUAAGUAUCCCACCUGGGGAGUACGAACGCAAGUUUGAAACUCAAAGGAAUUGACGGGGCCCGCACAAGCGGUGGAGCAUGUGGUUUAAUUCGAUGAUACGCGAGGAACCUUACCAGGGCUUAAAUGUAGAUUGACAGGCGUGGAAACAUGCUUUUCUUCGGACAAUUUACAAGGUGCUGCAUGGUUGUCGU
RNAcentral lists this ribosomal RNA (255 nucleotides) under uncultured bacterium. RNAcentral describes it as "partial 16S ribosomal RNA". It matches the Rfam family "Bacterial small subunit ribosomal RNA", at positions 793 to 1055 of the family's 1533-position model. The record is from RNAcentral.